CCUACGGGUGGCAGCAGUGGGGAAUAUUGGGCAAUGGGCGCAAGCCUGACCCAGCAACGCCGCGUGAAGGAAGAAGGCUUUCGGGUUGUAAACUUCUUUUAAGAGGGAAGAGCAGAAGACGGUACCUCUUGAAUAAGCCACGGCUAACUACGUGCCAGCAGCCGCGGUAAUACGUAGGUGGCAAGCGUUAUCCGGAUUUAUUGGGUUUAAAGGGUGCGUAGGCGGUCCGUUAAGUCAGCGGUAAAAUUGCGGGGCUCAACCCCGUCGAGCCGUUGAAACUGGCAGACUUGAGUUGGCGAGAAGUACGCGGAAUGCGCGGUGUAGCGGUGAAAUGCAUAGAUAUCGCGCAGAACUCCGAUUGCGAAGGCAGCGUACCGGCGCCAGACUGACGCUGAGGCACGAAAGCGUGGGGAUCGAACAGGAUUAGAUACCCGAGUAGUC
RNAcentral lists this ribosomal RNA (441 nucleotides) under uncultured bacterium. Its description in RNAcentral is "partial 16S ribosomal RNA". It matches the Rfam family "Bacterial small subunit ribosomal RNA", at positions 338 to 795 of the family's 1533-position model. The record is from RNAcentral.